RNAcentral lists this transfer RNA (76 nucleotides) under Rickettsiales bacterium. RNAcentral's name for it is "tRNA-Lys". It matches the Rfam family "tRNA". From Rfam's summary of the family: Transfer RNA (tRNA) molecules are approximately 80 nucleotides in length. Lineage: Bacteria; Pseudomonadati; Pseudomonadota; Alphaproteobacteria; Rickettsiales. The record is from RNAcentral.
GAGCCCGUAGCUCAGCUGGUAGAGCAACUGACUUUUAAUCAGUAGGUCCGGGGUUCGAAUCCCCGCGGGCUCACCA